Molecule: long non-coding RNA, 4942 nt
Filed under: Sus scrofa (pig)
Lineage: Eukaryota; Metazoa; Chordata; Mammalia; Artiodactyla; Suidae
Description: lncRNA (ENSSSCG00015063329.1)
Source: RNAcentral
GGGAUCUGAGCCAUGUCUGUGACCUAAACCACAGGUCAUGACAAUGCCAGAUCCUUUAACCCACUGAGCGAGGCCAGGGAUCAAAUCCGCAUCCUCAUUGUUGCUGGUCGGGUUCAUUAUCACUGAGCCACAACAGGAACUACUAAAAAGUAGUCAUGUUUAUUUCAACCUAAACAUGUUUUUAAUAACUAAAUAAUUGAAUACAACUGAUGCAUUAAGAAGAGGUGCCACAUUUACAGUGGCUUCCAGUCCCCAUGUGACACAUGUUCCUGUGCCUUGGGCCAUGGGGAGACCAGUUUCUCUGCUGAGGGGGCAAGUGUGAAGUACAGCUAAGACUUUGGUUGGGAAAAUACAUGGGCUCUAUGAGGAAGGCAUGAAGAAAUUUCCUUGUCUCUGUGCCUCUGUCUUAUUUUCACAUUGUUUAUUCUACAGGCCUUUGCUGUGGUCUUUACUACAACUGUCAGGUCAUCAAAUACCUUUCAAAGAAAAAGGUAGGCCACUGUUCCUGCUAUUUUCCUAGUUAUCCCAGUAGGUCACAUGGAGAAAGAGAUUUGGGCUGAUGUGUUUUCCCAAAAUUCAGGUCUACCUGGGAAUAUGACCUUAUUUAAGACUAGGAUCUUGGCAGAUGUAUUUAAGAUGAGGUCAUAUAGGACUAGGGUGGACCCUAAAUCCAAUGACGGAUGUAUAAGAAAGCAGAUGUUACACAGAGAGACACACGGAAACAGAGACAGAGCCUCAAAGAAGAUGUGACAGGGAAUAAUGAGGACUGCUGGGAGCUACCAGAAGAAAGGAAAAGGCAAGGAAAGAGUCUUCCUGGAGCCUUCAGAGAAUAUGGCCCUGCUGAUAAUUUGAUUUGAAGUGGUUCAUCUUCAGGACUUUGAGAAAAUAUAUUUUUGCUGUCUUGCCACCUAGUUUGUGACAAUUUACUAAUUUGUUAUGGGCUCUGCUCUUUGCGGGUUAGUUUAACAGUGCUUUAAACCAAUCUUAAAGUUUUUCAGUGGGCUUCGGCAGAUGCUAUUGAAAAGCAUUAAGAUGCCCAAAUAAUCAAAACACUAAAAAAUGACAGACCAAUAUUUCAAAAAGUAGUGGUUACUUUUUAAUAUUUUAUUCAACAGACUACACAUAUUUGUAUCUCACAAUGGAUAUGUGUUUGUACAACUGUGCUUGGAAAUACCUUAACACUCCUAAACAGGAAGUUUGAAAGAAUGUUAGCUCCAGGUUAAAUAAUUUUCUGGCUGAGGGCCUCUAGCUCCAUUUCUCCCACCCACUAUGGACCUGUUAAAGAAUUUUCUCUCUAAGUCAAGGUCAGACUCAGGAUCCUAUCUCUUUUGUGCUCACCUGUAUCCUUAUUUUAACCAUGCUCCCAAGUGAGGCUGGAUUAAUAGAGGAAACUUGGCUACUAUUUCUAUGCACAGAGCUUGCUCGUUUUUCUGGUUCACCUUACAGAACUGGAACCUUAGUCGGCCGUUAGAGGUCAAGCCAGUGACCUUACAUAAGAUUAUUGUCAUUUUUUUUAGUGGCUCAGCUUCAUCAAACACCAAAAACUUGUUUGGGGGCCAAGAAAUGGCAGCAAUGUUUUCCCAGGAUGGAAAUGUGUUUUUAGCCCACAGCCAAAUGGGAACCUGCAUUAGCAGAUAAAGUACUAAUCAUUUCAACCCCAGGACAGCUGUUCUUGUCAAAGACAUAUUCCUAAAUAAACAGAGUUUGGUGGUGGUGUACUCAGAGAGUCCAUUCAUAUGAGAAAACCAAUCACAAGAGAUCAUUCAGGAAAAUUGGCAGUGUCUGGAGAAGGGAGCUCCAGGCCUCUGCCUACCUGCAAAGUGAAUCAUUUGUUAUCCCCUGAGAAGGUACAAUCUUCAGCUCAGGGCAGGGGUCAAUAGCAAUGCCGUGUGAUGGAGGCACACGUUUAUGGCUAUAUGCACUCUCUACUGGGUCUAUGAAUAAAAAGACAAAGCUACCUCAGCAUUAUCAUUCCCCUGACCUUCAGGAGUGGAGCCAUCCCAGCAGGGGAAAAAAAAAAAAACAGCAGGAGAAGAAAAGGGAAAAUUAAAAUGUUAAAAACUAUAUUAUAGCUCGUUUAUGACCUUAAAAAAAAAUUAGACUUGAGAAUAUUAGGCUGGAGUAGAUACAACAAAGUCUGACAGCUCUGUAAAGUCAUAGAUUUUUUUUUUUCCCUCCCCUCUGAGUGGCUUUCUACUAAAAUCUUAAACAAUAAGCAGCCCCUGCUUGCUGGCUGACAGCCAGAGAAAAUUCAGAAUUUUGAUCAGUGCUUAACUAUUGAACGAAAUUUGCCUUGAAUUUCAGAGCAUUCCUCACUCCUAUAAAGCAUUUGCAGGGUUUGUCAAAGAGUCAGUUCCUAUUAAUAAGAAAUGCAAAAUGCUGCAGAUUGAAAGUUGUGCAGUGGUGUUCUUUUCCCUUAAACUUCCAUGUUCGCUGGUUUGCUCAGUGAGUUCGGCAUGACAAGCAAACAUUUGAAGCCACCAGUGUUAUCAUAAGAAUACCUCAAGAAAAUCUGUGUUAGAAAUGAUGGCAAGUGUCAAUAUAUUCCAACUACCUAGAACAUUCAAAUUUAAAACCCAAAAUGCAAUUGUUGUUAUAGCCAUGUCCUGAAGCCUGACGAUGUACUGCUGCUGAGGAGAGGAUGGAUUUUAUUGUCCCUAAGAAAAGGAGUCCUUAGGUUUUCUAGGUGUCUUUAUCCAUGAUUAUAAACAAACAAGCAAACAAACAAAUCCACUCAGGAGCUUAUAGUAAUUAGCAGCCAUCUGCUCUCAACAAAAUGAUCUUUGUACUUGGUGGGGUGAGAGGGGUCAAUAUAAUUAAAAAAAUUUUUUUUCAGUUUCUUUGAUGUCUUCGAGUGAUCAAUGCUUGGCUCAUGUUGCUUACUUUAAUUCUCAGACAUUUUAUUAUCUCUCUUUACUAUCUAAAGAGUAUUUUAGGAGGGAACUGGUAUUUUUAAAUGUCCAUUUAAUUUCUUUUUUAUAGACUGGAUAAUCACAAACAAAUCUAUUUAACCUCUAGGCUUAAACUCAGGGUAAAAGUAAUUUUAAAAUAAUAUUUUUGGAUGAUGUUCUGACCACACAUAAGAAACACCAUCAAAGGUCAGUCAGAAUUAAUAUGGAGAUUAGCAAGUGUCAGAAGUUAUUUUGCACAAGCUGCAGAAUACGUUUGCAAUCUGAUUUUGUGGCAUAUCUAUUACAAAUGAGAAAGACCCUCAGUGGUUUUGCAGAAUCCCAUUUUCUUAAUAGGAAAUUGAUGAAUGACAGCAUCUGGCAAGAAGAAAAAAGCAUAUGGUCUAACUAACUGUUUCUAUAGAGGUUAAAAACAGUUUUGGAAUUUCUCUGGUUGCUGUUAUGAUUGACAGACCAUCAAAUAAAUCAUUCACUUUUCUUUCCCCCUCCAUCAGUCCCAUGUACUGACAAAGACACAGGGGGAAGUCGGCAGUGUGGUGCAUGAGAAAUUAGACAUGCAAUGCCCAUUAACAUAAAUGGAUUUUUUUGCACCUAAUUCCCUACACACCAUGCAAAAAUCUACCCGCAGGACAUGGAGUAUGCAUGUUUUCUUGUUCUUUCUAUUUAUAAUUUUUAAUUAUUAAUUUCAUAUAUAAUUGGUUUCUUUAGAGAAUGAAAUGCCUAGUAGGUUAUCUAAAACACUGUUUCAGAGUCUUGGGGCUUGAUGCUGCAAAAAGAUGGGCUGAUACUGAAGGAUGUUAUGUAUGUAAGACAAACAAUGAAAAUGAGGCUGAGAGGUCUUGAAUGAAGUUAGGCUAAUUAAACAAUUCUCAGUGUUUAAAUUCUUGCUCCCUUCUCCAGGGUAUACUGCCAAUCAUCUCAUCUUGGGGGAUUGCUCUGGUUUGCCCUCACCUCCAUGCCCGCUUCAUAAAUGUAACCCUCAAAUAAUUUAUCAAAUAGUUUCACUCUAAAAAAUGAGAGCUAUUUUGGUGUUUUCAACUCACUUAAUUUCCCUCUCUCUUUUCUUUUUUUCAAGUCAGUUUACAUACUCCUUAGAGAACAAUGAGUUCUGAAAGGAGGAAGCUUGUCUAGACUAUUCACAAUGUGUUCUAGAAAACUGCCCACCCCCUUUCCUCAUUUACUCAGUUUGGGGCCAGGUUUGUUUGUGUACCUCCAGGCACUUAUUGUCUCAUGACACAGCCUAUUCUGUCAAUGGACAGUUCCAUGAUGGGGACUGGCUUCCAAGGUGGCCCCCAGAGGUCCUCCCAUCCUGGCAGGUGAUUGCUGGCCUAGUAGUCUCCACCUCCUGACACUGAAUAGGGCUUAACUUAGUAACAAAUAGGAUAUUGUGGAUGAAAUAUAGUGAUGCAGAACCACUUCUGAGACUGCGUUCUCAAAGAUACUACAGUUUCUGACCUGCUAACUCUUGGAUGGAUAGUUUUUUGGGAACCCAGCUUCCAUGGUGUGAGGACCCUCAAACAGUUCUGAGCAGCAGCACCUGUGAAAAAACAAUGCAGGCUCCUGCCAACAACCAGUAGCCACUCCCUUGCCAGCCACUUUGAGGGGUUGGCCAUCCAGUCUUGGUUAAGCUCUCCAUUGAUUACAGCCUUGGUCAACAACUUGACUGCAAUUUUGUGAGAGUCCAAGCCACAGCUAUGCAGUUAAGCCAUGCCUGAUUCCCUGACCCACAGAAACUGUUGACAGCAAUUGUUUAUUAUUAUUUUAAGCCAUUAAAGCUUGAGAUUCAUUUUACACAGAAUAUGUAGAUGACUGACACAGACUGCAUUGUAGUCCUUUUGUUACUCCUUAGUCAUGCAUGGAAGACUUAGGAAAUCAAUGAAAUCUCCUUUUCACAUGAUAGCAAAUACCAGCUGAUAGUAAGUCUUUCUGUUUUUUGUAAUCCCCUCUGUCCCCUGGUCCCCUGGUCCUCUACUCUACUUUCUCAAUCGAGAUCUUUCUGGGUCAUCUGAGUUACAACCUUCUAGCCUUUAUUA